CCUGCCUCAGCUUCCCAAGGAGCUGGGAUUACAGAGACGGGGUUUCACCAUAUUGGGCAGGCUGGUCUCGAACUCCUGACCUCAAGCGAUCCACCCGCCUUGACCUCUCGAAGUUCUGGGAUUACAACUGUGAACCACUGCACCCGGCCCAUAAGUUAUUUAAAUGAUGGAAAAAUUCUAUAAAGAGAAAAUUCCACCUCCUCUACUGUUAGUGGUGAAGCUCACAUAAGAAAGAGCCAGCUGAGAGUCUGUCAAGGGGAGACCCAAAACCAGAGAAACUCCUUUUCUUCUUUGUCUCAAUCACAUCAUUUUCUAGGGACACCAAUUCAUCAAGAAGCAAGAGUUUUGCUGUCAGUUCCUCCUGCAUUCAUUCUUCCUGCUGCCUUGUGAAGAAGGUGCCUUGCUUCCCCUUUGCCUUCCACCAUGAUUGUAAGUUUAACGAGGACUCCCCAGCCAUGCAGAACUGUUCACAACCUUGAAUGGCAUGUUGGCAAUAAAAAGAAGACAAUAAAAAA
This is a long non-coding RNA of Homo sapiens (human), 515 nucleotides long. Ensembl annotates it as OSTN antisense RNA 1. Its record names the gene OSTN-AS1. The record is from Ensembl. Lineage: Eukaryota; Metazoa; Chordata; Mammalia; Primates; Hominidae.